CCUACGGGAGGCAGCAGUGGGGAAUCUUUCACAAUGGGGGAAACCCUGAUCCAGCGACGCCGCGUGAGUGAAGAAGUAUUUCGGUAUGUAAAGCUCUAUCAGCAGGGAAGAAAGAAAUGACGGUACCUGACUAAGAAGCCCCGGCCAACUACGUGCCAGCAGCCGCGGUAAUACGGAGGGGGCCAGCGUCAUCCGGAUGUACGGGUUGUAAAGGGGGCGUAGACGGCGAUGCAAGUCUGAAGUGAAAGGCGGGGGCCCAACCCCCGGACUGCUGUGGAAACUGUGAGGCUGGAGUGCAGGAGAGGGAAGUGGAAUUCCUAGUGUAGCAGUGAAAUGCGUAGAUAUUAGGAGGAACACCAGUGGCGAAGGCGGGUUACUGGACUGUAACUGACGUUGAGGCUCGAAAGCGUGGGGAGCAAACAGGAUUAGAUACCCCAGUAGUC
Molecule: ribosomal RNA, 443 nt
Filed under: uncultured bacterium
Lineage: Bacteria
Description: partial 16S ribosomal RNA
Rfam family: Bacterial small subunit ribosomal RNA
Source: RNAcentral